UUAAAGAACUUCUCCAAACUCAUGCAGGUGCUGGGUGAGGAAGCAGGGGUUUGUCUAUUUCCAGAGACUUCGUUUGGCCGCUAAGUUAUUAUUUGGGGCUAAAUUAUGUCCCUCACAGCCCUCCAGUUCAGAUGUCAAAGUCCUAAUCCCCAGUGUCUCAGCAAGUGACAAUAGAGGAUUGUUCUUUAAGGAAGCCACGAGUUGAAGUGGGCUCUCUAGGGUGGGUCUUAAUCUGAAGAGGGGCCCUUAUCCAAAGAGUAAGUCUGGGUAGACACACGUCCGCACAGAGGAAAGAACACAGCAGGACACAGCAGAGGGGGGACAGCCCUGGGGAGAAGCCUCGGAAGGAACCGAACCUGCCCCAGCUUGAUCGUGGAGCCCAGCUUCCUGAACUGUGCGGCUGGAACCACCUGUGUGGGGCACCUGUCACGGCACCUGUCACCGCAGCCCAGCCAACCAGCUGUGUUGCCUCUCGUGGCACCCGGACUUCUUUAGCACGACACAGUCUCCCCAGAGGGUGGAGCUGCCUUCUCCUGGUCCCCUGGCUCCUGCAGCUGACAGCCAGGUGUCCAGGCGUGCUGAGGGGUGGCCCUGGGUCCCAGGCUUCUCGUUGUUCCAAGACUUUCCAUGGGGUUCCCGCCGCGGCUUGCUUUGUCACCUGAAGGCUUCCAGCCACCCUCUCAAUUCCAACUCGGGUGUCACAUCUCCUCUGACGCUCACCCGACCCUCUGUUUGGACGUCCAUUUAGUUGAGUCCCUCCCCACUGCCCCCGCACCGGCACCUUGUGGGGGAAUCUGUUCCAACCGUGGUCCCGCACCGUUUCGUCACAGGGUCCUCAACGCCCACCUAGGGAGGACAGAGGCCAUGCUGGCAUGGCCCUUCCAUCCAGAGGCCGUGCCUGCGGGAGGCUCAGCAGUGCUCACCACGGCGGGGGUCAGCUCCAGAGAAGGCCACCAACCUGCUGGAGAAGCUGAGGCCGGAGGACUGAUUGAUCUGCUGCGAUGUUUACGAACUCCCCAAGUCCUGAGGCUCAUCAUUUCGGUAAGAAGCAUCUCCCCUACAGAACACCGUGAGGAGGCGUCGUCUUUAUUCCCAGGUUAAGGAAAAUUAAAUACGUGGAAUCUCCUCGUCAAUAUUUUUAGUGUGGAGGUGGAGUAAAUCUGUCACCAAUGGUAGCAACCUCCGUGGAAAUACCAAGGACCGACUGUUCCAGCUGAAUGAAGGCGUAGACGUUCCUCCUCAUGGGGAGGCCUGGGAGAAAGAGGCCACACUGGGGCUUCAGCAAAGGUCACCACUGACUGGCCAAUGGGAAUAGCCCGUAGCAGAGUGGGCCGGCCAGGCAUGCAGCUUGGAUUGUCCCCUGGAGAGUUCUGUGGCCCCGGAUGCUGGCUUUCGUGCUCUUACUGCGUGGGGCACUGAGGCGAAGCUCAGCUGUGGACAGCUCGACUGGACAGUUCUUCCCUCCUUCUCACUGCUUCAGGAGGUCCCACUCACAGUCUACGCCACGUGGUUUUGGUUCCAGCUUGCUGUACCCGUGGAGGGUGGCGGAAGGGACCAUUCAUAAAUCCCAUCCUGAUCUCGAUUACUCAUGCUCAAGGUGCAGCAGGUGAGCUGCUGGCGCCGCUGGACUGAAGCGUGGAGUUAUUAAAGAGGAGCAGGAGCUGCACGUUCAAGGCCCCGUCGAGAGGAACACGUGUGCACAGGGCACGACUCCGGCAAAUGUGGAUUCCAAAUUGCUCAUGCCCCUACUCGGGCUGUGCAAACAGACUUGACAACAAUCACGGCGUGCAUCUAGCCUCAAGCAGAGCGCGUGAAGCAUCACGGGGUUGGCAUGAUUAUGCAAAUGCUGUUUGGCAGAACCAGGGAGACUCUGCCCCUUGAAUUUGUUGGAUUCACCUGCUGCCUGAUCUACAAGCACCUUAGGACACAAAGGCAGAACAUUGUGCCUGUUACAGAAAAGAAGCUGUAGUCCUCCAGUUACAUGUUUUCUUCUUAAGAUGAUCUUUAUUAUGUCAUUCAUACCCACAAAUACAUAUUGUACCUGUUCUCUAUGAAAGAACGAUGUAUCCAAGGUUUGAGACCUGAGUUGAAAUCCUGCGUCUGACCUGAGCAUACAGGCCCAGGAACUCAGGUCACGCUUAGUGGUCCAGAUUUCUUCAUAUAUAAAGUGGAGGCAAAUAUUGAUAGUGGGUUGUGUCCGCUGAAAACUAAAAAGUAAAUAUUAAAAUUCUCUCUCUCUCUCUCUCUCUCUUUAAAAAAAUAAAAAAUAAAUGAGGUAUUAUGUUCACAAACACCUGACUGUCUAUACUCAAGUACCUAAUGUAGAGCAGUUGUUGAACAAAAAGUGAAUUUUUCUUCCUGUCACUCAAUUGUUUCCUCACAAGUAAACUAUGGGCAGGCUCUGCAUCUUUUAUCUAAUAGUAAAGCUUCCAUUAGUAUUCUGGAACUGUCUUCAACUGAGAGGAAGGUAAGGCUAUUUGGGGAUUCUCUCUGAUUCUGUAGGAGAUGGUUACAUUCCUCAUAUUUUAGGAGGUAUUAAUAUCUGAAUAUAUUUAUACUUUGUAAAUGUAAAUUAUAAGGUAUUUUUUUGUUUUAUACAUGUUUAUAAACUUGGAGAGAAAGUUGAAUUGAACCUAUUCAUCUGCAUACAAUGCAAAUACUGGGUUGUCCGUUAUAGAAAAGUGUUUGAUUAUCAUAUUGAAAUAGC
Ictidomys tridecemlineatus (thirteen-lined ground squirrel) is the source of this 2707-nucleotide long non-coding RNA. RefSeq lists it as uncharacterized. The record is from RefSeq and is a predicted model, not a curated record. Lineage: Eukaryota; Metazoa; Chordata; Mammalia; Rodentia; Sciuridae.